This 378-nucleotide unclassified non-coding RNA is filed under the name plant metagenome. RNAcentral describes it as "partial contains 5.8S ribosomal RNA, internal transcribed spacer 2, and large subunit ribosomal RNA". The stretch from base 1 to 105 matches the Rfam family "5.8S ribosomal RNA", at positions 50 to 154 of the family's 154-position model. The record is from RNAcentral.
GAAAUGCGAUAAGUAAUGUGAAUUGCAGAAUUCAGUGAAUCAUCGAAUCUUUGAACGCAUCUUGCGCUCCUUGGUAUUCCUUGGAGCAUGCCUGUUUGAGUAUCAUGAAAUCUUCAAAGUAAAUCUUUUGUUAACUCAAUUGGUUUCUACUUUGGUAUUGGAGGUCUUUGCAGCUUCACACCUGCUCCUCUUUGUUCAUUAGCUGGAUCUCAGUGUUAUGCUUGGUUCCACUCGGCGUGAUAAGUUAUCUAUCGCUGAGGACACUGUAAAAGGUGGCCAAGGUAAAUGCAGAUGAACCGCUUCUAAUAGUCCAUUGACUUGGACAAUACUUUUAUGAUCUGAUCUCAAAUCAGGUAGGACUAUCCGCUGAACUUAAGC